This is an RNA transcript of Frieseomelitta varia, 2746 nucleotides long. It is a transcript of the gene named translation factor GUF1 homolog, mitochondrial, with no coding region annotated. The transcript has 9 exons. NCBI's taxonomy places the organism in Eukaryota, Metazoa, Arthropoda, Insecta, Hymenoptera, Apidae. The record is from RefSeq and is a predicted model, not a curated record.
UUUUAGCUAAUGUUAAAAAUAUUUUAUAACUACUGUAUUAUCUCAUUAUGAAGAUGAAUAAAUUUAUAUAUCGUGUACAGUCCUUUUAUAAAAAUCAUAAUCUUUCCCAAAUACGCAUAAGACAACCCCUGUAUCUCAAUAAAUUUUAUUCUACAAACUCAGAAGUUGCUAGAGAAUAUGAUACACCAAUAGAAAAUAUCCGUAAUUUCAGUAUUAUAGCACAUGUUGAUCAUGGUAAGAGCACCCUUGCUGACAGAUUACUGGAAAUAACAGGUGCAAUAGAAGUCAACUCUGGUAAACAAAUAUUGGAUAAACUACAAGUUGAGAAAGAACGUGGAAUCACUGUUAAAGCGCAAACGGCGUCAGUUAACUACACAUACAAAGGAAUUAAAUAUCUGCUUAAUCUGAUAGAUACACCUGGACACGUUGACUUCUCUGCUGAAGUACACCGUUCGUUAACUCCCUGCCAAGGAGUAAUUUUAAUAGUAGAUGCAAAUGACGGUGUACAAGCACAAACCGUGGCCAAUUUUCAUUUAGCUGUUAAACACAAUCUAGUCAUAGUGCCAGUAAUCAAUAAAAUAGAUUUAAAAUACGCCAAUCCCGACAGAGUUGUAAAUCAGUUAGAAACAUUAUUUGAUAUAAAGCAGUCAGAUGUGUUAAAGAUAUCUGCUAAAUUAGGUACUGGAGUAUCUAAAGUCUUGGACGCUGUAGUGGAGAGAAUUCCACCCCCUGAUGUAUGUAGAGACAAGCCAUUCAGAGCUUUGAUAUUCGAUAGCUGGUAUGAAAAAUAUAAAGGAACAAUUUUACUGAUAUAUAUCAAAGAAGGAUCUUUAUCCCUUAAACAACACGUUGUUUCAAUGUACAAUAAGAAGCCUUAUGAAGUUAGAACUAUUUCGCUGUUGAGACCCUCCGAAGAAGUUGUAAAUAAAUUGUUUGCAGGUCAAAUAGGAUGCAUUUCUUGUAAUUUAAAAUCUUCCAACGAAACGAUUAUUGGCGAUACGUUACAUCUGAAAGAUUAUGUUACUGAACCUUUACUAGGGUUUAAAGCACCGAAACCAAUGGUUUUUUCGGGCCUUUAUCCGAUUGAGAAGUCGGAAUUUGAAGUUUUGAAAACCGCUAUCGAGAAACUAAUAUUAAAUGAUAGUAGCGUUACUGUUGCAAUGGAAACCAGUGUAGCUCUUGGACAAGGCUGGAGACUUGGAUUUUUGGGCUUACUACACAUGGAAGUAUUUAUGCAACGACUUGAACAAGAAUAUGGUGCACAUUCAGUUGUGACGACGCCCAGUGUUACAUAUAAAGCAAAAAUUUUUGGCAAGAAGAAUGUUAAACAAUACAGGACUGAUAUGAUUUCAUUCAAUAAUCCUGCAAAUUUUCCUGAUCCUAACAUUGUCGAAGAAUUUUAUGAACCUAUGGUAUUAGGAACUAUUAUAGCACCAAUUGAGCAUAUAGGUACAGUUAUGAAUUUAUGUUUUGAAAGACGAGGAAUACAACAAAUGACGAAAGAUAUUGGUCAUAACAGAACAAUGUUUCAAUUUUUACUGCCAUUGAAUGAAAUUAUUGUUGAUUUCCAUGAUGUACUAAAACGUGUAACUUCGGGAUAUGGUACUUUUGAUUAUGAAGACAGUGGUUAUGAGCCUGCAAACAUCGUAAAGUUAAAUAUUGCUUUAAAUGGUAAAGUAGUUGAAGAAUUUAGUACUAUUGUACACGCUAGCAAAGCUCGGGCAAUAGGCAGACAAAUAUGUGAAAAAAUGCUAAAUAUUCUUCCACGUCAAAUGUUUGAAAUAGCGAUUCAAGCAAUCGUUAGCGGGAAAGUGCUCGCGAGAGAAAACUUAAAAGCAUACAAAAAAGAUGUAACUGCGAAAUUGUAUGGUGGUGAUGUUACUAGAAGGAUGAAAUUAUUAGCUCAACAAGCAGAAGGGAAAAAGAAAAUGAAAAUGAUUGGAAAAAUAUGCGUACCACGAGAAACAUUCAUAAAUCUUCUUAAGAAAUAGUAUAAGUACAGUCUUCUUUUAUAUUCAAUAAUUAGGUGAGGGGUCUGACAACUGGUGUGUGCUAUUUGAUACGAUGUGGAUGCUGGAUCUUGCAUAUCCAAUUGACUUUGAGCAAUAUCUUGUAGAGCAGCUUGAAUUCUUUGCAGAAGUGCUUCACCCUGUUUUACAACUUCUUCUAGUUGUUCACCAGCUUCUUGAUUUUCUUGUUCAAGGCGACUGAGACUUGCAACUUGCAGUUCCUGCGAUGAUUCCUCACUUGGUAAACUUUCUAUCAAGGUAUCGAUAUCUUUUGCACACCUUGCUAUAAGUGUUGCGAAUAAAGCUGCAUAAUCUAAAAUAUAAGUAUUGUUUAUAUGAAAAUUCAUAAAAUUUAAAUGAAAUAAAUUGCAUAUGAAAAAUACCUUCUUGAGGCUGAUGCGGUUGAGGUGUUCCAACACGAUCAAAACCAGGAAAUUUGCUGGGUGUUGAAUACUGUUGUAAAAUACCUACGCUGUUACAAAAAUGUUCUGCUUGCUAGAAUAAUAAUAAGCGAAACUCAUUUUUUUACCUAUUGUGUUUAUGAAUAAUUUGUACAAACAAGUUACCUGAUUUAUAGUAUCUUGUAACUGUGUUAAACGAUCUGCCAUAUUUUUCAAAUAUAACCUUCAAAAUUGUGUAACAAUUAUGUAUAAUCAACGACACUAUUCCACAUAUAACAUCACUGUAAUUAAAUAUAAUACACAAUUUUCUAUCAUAGAAUAUAUUUAUAUAAAGUC